RNAcentral lists this small RNA (551 nucleotides) under Pongo abelii (Sumatran orangutan). Its description in RNAcentral is "processed transcript". Lineage: Eukaryota; Metazoa; Chordata; Mammalia; Primates; Hominidae. The record is from RNAcentral.
AAACCUUUUUGAGGUGAGAUCUGGCUGUGUUGCCCAGGCUGGAGUGCAGUGGCUGUUCACAGCUUUUAAAAGCAGUCCAUCUUCAAGGCCAUGAAGGACCUGUUUAUGCGGUGCAUGCUGUUUACCAGAGGAGGACAUCAGAUCCUGCUUUAUGUACACUGAUCGUUUCUGCAGCUGCAGAUUCUGCUGUUCGACUCUGGUCUAAAAAGGGUUCAGAAGUAAUGUGCCUUCAGACUUUAAACUUUGGAAAUGGAUUUGCUUUGGCUCUCUGCUUGUCUUUUUUGCCAAAUACUGAUGUACCAAUAUUAGCAUGUGGCGAUGAUGAUUGCAGAGUUCACGUAUUUGCUCAACAAAAUGAUCAGUUUCAGAAAGUGCUUUCUCUCUGUGGACAUGAGGAUUGGAUUAGAGGAGUGGAAUGGGCAGCCUUUGGUAGAGAUCUUUUCCUAGCAAGCUGUUCACAAGAUUGCCUGAUAAGAAUAUGGAAGCUGUAUAUAAAGUCAACAUCUUUAGAAACUCAGGAUGACGAUAACAUAAGACUGAAAGAAAAUACU